This 322-nucleotide ribosomal RNA is filed under the name uncultured eukaryote. RNAcentral describes it as "partial 18S ribosomal RNA". It matches the Rfam family "Eukaryotic small subunit ribosomal RNA", at positions 1470 to 1796 of the family's 1831-position model. The record is from RNAcentral.
CCCUUAGAUGUUCUGGGCCGCACGCGUGCUACACUGAGUAAAUCAAUGGGUAAGGGAACACGAAAGUGCAACCUAAUCUUCAAAUUUGCUCGUGAUGGGGAUCGACGGUUGCAAUUUUCCGUCGUGAACGAGGAAUACCUUGUAGGCGCGUGUCAUCAUCACGCGCCGAAUACGUCCCUGCCCUUUGUACACACCGCCCGUCGCUCCUACCGAUUGAGUGAUCCGGUGAGGCUCUGGGACCUGGACGGAAAGAGCGUUUCGCUGUUUCUGCUCGGAAAACUCAGUCGAACCUUAUCAUUUAGAGGAAGGAGAAGUCGUAACA